RNA transcript from Eriocheir sinensis (Chinese mitten crab), 6099 nucleotides. It is a transcript of the gene named protein phosphatase 1B-like, with no coding region annotated. The transcript is spliced from 11 exons. NCBI's taxonomy places the organism in Eukaryota, Metazoa, Arthropoda, Malacostraca, Decapoda, Varunidae. The record is from RefSeq and is a predicted model, not a curated record.
AUUAGCAUUGUGGUCGUGGGACGGCUCGUAUCACCUCCAGUAGCUGCUGGAGGUUGCCCAGCAUUUGUUAAACAAUAUGGGCAGCACUUGCUUUCUCCUCCAGUGGACUGUUGGCUGCAUCUUGUAUCAGACACACCGUGGUGGGGCAUGUCAAUGAAGUGAUCUUAUCAUGGGUGCAUUUCUAGACAAGCCAAAAACAGAUAAGCACAAUGAGAAUGGGGUGGGCAAUGGACUUCGCUAUGGGUUGUCUAGUAUGCAGGGCUGGCGCAUUGAGAUGGAGGAUGCCCAUGCUGCUGUAGCCAAUCUUCCAGGUGUACUCAAGGAUUGGGCAUUUUUUGCAGUGUUUGACGGCCAUGCCGGUGCCAAAAUAUCUGCCCACUGUUCAGAACAUCUACUGAAUUCCAUCACAUCAGGCGAGGAAUUUCAACCAUCUUCUAUUGCUGAGUUUGAGACAGAUAGUGAAGAGAGAACUAUAAGUAAGAUAAAGAAGGGGAUCCAUGCUGGGUUUUUGAGGCUAGAUGAGUCCAUGCGCCAAAUGCCAGAGGUUGCCAGCGGAGAAGACAAAAGUGGCACAACGGCAGUAUGUGCCCUAAUAUCUCCAACGCAUGUUUUUGUAGCUAACUGCGGAGAUUCUCGUGGAGUCUUGUACCGAGCUGGUGGUAUUGGCUUCAGUACACAAGACCACAAGCCAGUCAAUCCCACAGAAAAGGAGAGAAUCCAAAAUGCAGGAGGAAGUGUGAUGAUUCAGAGAGUUAAUGGCUCUCUGGCGGUUUCUAGAGCACUUGGCGAUUAUGAGUACAAAAAUGUGGAAGGGAAGGGUCCCUGCGAGCAGUUGGUAUCCCCAGAGCCAGAGAUAUAUGUGGAGCGCCGGCAAGAUGACGAUGAGUUUUUAGUUCUGGCAUGUGAUGGAAUCUGGGAUGUCAUGACGAAUGAGGACCUGUGUGCCUUUGUGCGGUCAAGGCUUCUCAUCAAUAAUGAUCUUGAAGCUAUUACAAAUCAUGUUGUUGACACAUGCCUUCACAAGGGAAGCCGAGACAAUAUGAGUCUAGUACUGAUCACUCUGCCAGGGGCACCAAAGGUUUCAGAGGAAGCUGUGAAGAGAGAACAAGAACUGGAGGACUUGAUAGAAAAGAAAGUUACAGAAUUGUGCAAACAGGAGGGACAAGUGAGCAUGGCACAGAUAAUGCAAACCCUGGCUGACAUGAAUCUACCUAAUCUUCCCCCCGGUGGAGGCCUAACAGCAAAGCGAGGUUUUGUGGAUCAAUUAUUCAGAAAAUUGCGACCUGACUGUGCAAACUUGGAUAACAUGGAAGAAGUUGGGGAUUAUGGUGGACUGGGUGGUAAUUUGAUGUUCUUCCCAAGUACAUCCAUGCAAGACAAGCUAGCCUCCAUUUUGGAAAACUCCCGAUGCAGUGAUGACCCCUCAUAAGAAAGUUGGUGAGGAUGCAGGGUUGCUCAGGGUUAGGUUGAGGGUACAAGGAAAAUGAUGCCUACAGUAGUGAUUGUUGCACCUAGGGCCUCCUGAUCUUAUCACCGCCACAGCUACCAACAAAAGAAAAAAUAAAAAAAAAUUAAAGUGUUGAUGUGCUGAUGUUACAGUUUAUGCAAGCGUGCAGAAGCAUUCAACAGACAGGCCAAGUCCAGUGAUGUGUUGACCCUGGUGAAGCCUCAGUGAUGGUUUUAUACUCACUCUCCUUACUGUGGGUAUAGUAUUUCAUGGUACAUUUAAGUUUUCAGUUCUAUUGAGUGGAUGCAGAGUGUUGGAAUAUGUCUCCCUGGGUUCUUAAUGAUAAGUUACACUUAAAAUUGACUCCUGUAACUUAUUUAUGUAAAUUGAAGUUUGUAAUAAAUAUCCUCAAAGGAAAAUAAGUUAAUGUUUGCCAAGAUUUAUUAAAGAACUCAGUAACUCAUUUGCCAGCCACUCCACUCCAUGAAUAUAUAACAAUCCAAGAUACAUUAUCAGAACUGCAAAAUUGAUUCAGGUUGCGUAUGUUAUGUCUGACCUGAGACUUCACGUGUGGUUGAUGUCACUGAUUUAGGCCUAAAUAUUUUUGCAGUCAGAUGUGCUAGUUUCAUAUGUGAUAGUCCUAAUGCUUUCCCCUUACAGACGAAGCUUAACAUCACUUGUGAAUCACUGAGCGUGUAGCACCAGUCCAUUUUGGAAAUUUAUCCCAUUCUAAAGAUGACAGGUGAAAUUCUAUUGCAUUUACUUAAAAACUAAAUAUUAAUCCUGAAAAGUAGGUGCUCAGUACUCAGUGUGAUUCAAAGAUGAUUUAGGACUGUGCUUAGGAGACACCAAAGUUUGCCACCACAUAGAAAAUGAAGUGGAUGUUACAAGACAUACAUUCAUGUAAAACAGGGAUUAAUAUACUGUGUGGUGCCACAGGUGGUGUGUUGCUUCUGAGCACUGGUCAAAAGUGUCUCUUGAAGGAAAGUGUGUAAGAGUAUGUUAAUACAGUUGAUAAGUUUUAUGCUUUUCUCUGCAUACACCUAUAUUUCACCAUAUUUUGAAGUGAUGUUUGUAGAUAAAAUGUAAGACAGAAAAUUUUAUGUGUUCAUAGUUCUUCUGAGACUAUGUUCCAAUAGCAUCUUUGCUUCAUGUGCCUGUUUUCAAAAACCUUUAGUCAUUCAUCUAUUUUCAAAGCAAAUAAAUGACAAAAAGCCUAAUUCUGUUUUCAAUGCAAGUCAUUUCUUUGUGGAAUGGGGUUACUGCUUAGAGUUGGUGUGAUACAUAAUUUGGAGAAAGGUUCAGAUCUUACCUUUCUGUUCUCAUUUUUGUAUGGCUUGCAGUUCCCAUCACCCCCAACACCAGCCUAGCUUGUGUCGAAACUUUGCAGCAUUAUGAUACAAUGCAGGAGUGAAUACAUUUUUUCAUCACUUAUUUGAAGAGAAGUUGUUGGAUUACCAUAUGCAGUACAACUAUUUCAUUGAUUUUACACAACCUUAGUCAUGUUUUAUAACUUGUUUGAUUUGUGUGACCUCAAACUAUAUAUUUUCUCAAGGUUCAUAUAAUUUUAGCUCUCAAACAACUUUGGGAGACCUUAACAUUGCAUGACUAUUGCAUGUAGGAUCACAAUAACAAGAAACAAUUUAAUUAUUUCAUUUAAAAAUAAGCAAACAUCCUUCUACUAUAAAACUGUGAUUCUCAUUUUAUUCAUAGUAUCAGACAUCAUAUAUUGUUUCAUACAUUGUUCCCUAGAACUAAUAAACAAAUUUCUUCAAAUAACUAAUUGCUUAAUUAUGUUCAUCUUCAUCAGUACCACCUCCAAAGUCAGGUUGAACAUCAGAAAUGCUUCACUUGUGACCUUUUUUCUGAGCAAAAAUGCAAGUGCAGGAGUGUACAUUCCUAGAUCAAACCCUCCUGUCACCUAGGAGGUGCAGCUCUUUAUGAUGCCUCUUACAACACUGGAAUGUUGAAUAAUGUCAUUUUUAUCUCCAUGUAGUUUUGAAGAUAAAUAAAACUUGUAGUUUACCGUAAGUGGCAUGACAAAUUGUGAAAACAUUCAAAUAAAUUGUGAAAUCAUACUUACUAAGGUUAACGUGUGAUCACAGACAAAAAAUCAGUUGCUCUGCAUACAACUAGACAGCUUCAGACAACAGUUAUGAUAAUUUUUUAACAAAUUUGAGGUUAAUAAAACACUUUGGCAGACUAAAGCAUGUUUAGUAUUACCAAACAGUUUUGACGGACAUGCCACCACUGAAGAUUUUGGCAUUGUCCAUCAAAACUGUUUGGUAAAGAUUUAUAUCUUUCCACUGCCAGCAUGGGUUUUAUUCACUUCAAGGAAGGUCAUGUUAGUGUGACUACCCCAGUGUACCUGUGAAAGUUAAUUUGGUGAAGGUGUUUGGGAGGUAAUGAGAGUGAUGAAGGAUUCCUGGUGAAGAAAACCAAAUUAAAAUGGUGCAAGGUAAUGUGAGAAAAUAAGGAAGGGAGGCUAUGUUUGACAUGCACAUAGGAAACAUGGUUACAUUUACAUUAACUGUAAAAAAACUCAUUUUAGUUAAAUGUUGGGUAGUCAUACGAUAUUGUUUGACCAAGAACUGUGAAUGAUAAUGUAUUAAUUCUGUAAUUUGACUAUUAGUUAUAUUUCUUUGAAUUUACAAAGAGGGCAUUUAAACUAAGAUUAUAGGCAGAUAUAAAUUAAUGGUUGUACAUAAUUUUAUUUUGUGGUAUUCCCUUAGUGUCUGUUGAAAACAUUGACAUUUUCAGCAUCUAAUUUUCUUAAAGCCAGAGAUGGGUGCAAGACUGAAAAAAUUACAUUAUAUCUAUAGAUGCUAACUCCAGAAAUGUCACUAAACAUGUAUAAAUCCAUAACUUCUGUAUUUUGUCAAGCUUGUAUUAUAUUUGCAUUUCUGUUCAUUAAUUGAAUAUUGAAUAAGUGCCAGAAGAAGACUAUUAUAGAGCUACAUUUUUCUUUGCAGAAUGGACAGUUUUUUUUUCACUUGUGAUUAUUGAUUCAAUGUGUGCCAUAGAUUGUAUGUGUUCUAUUCUUUUAUUAAUCUUACAUACUGUACAUACUUGUGUAAAAGUCAAGUUUUUAAGGUUUAAGUUUAGGGGGUAGACUUUUUUAAAACACUUUUGGGUGGCUCAUUUAUUCCUUAGUCAAACCUUUCAUUGCCUUAGUAGGAGUCCAGCAGGCCUUUAAAUCAACAAAAAGAGAACAACAAAUUGCGGGAAGGGGGGAGGGUUAAUCGGCAAAAUUCAGGUUCUACAAUGAAAUAACAGGUCUCACUAAAUUCCUGAAAUAGACCUUUGUCACAUAUAUCUUAGCUAAAUAACAUUGUAGUUUUAUACAUUAUGAGAAUACUUCAUGCCAGUGCCCGUCCUGCAUCACAAUAUCUCAUGUUGUCUUUGUUGGGGUCACAUACCUUGCAGCUCUAUUUUAUUAUGGUAUACUAUUAUGUUUGACCAAUCUUUAAUUAUUUCAUGGCAACUUUAGGCACAAAAUUAUAUUACUAAGCUCUUCUUUUUAAAUUUUUAAUGUGUAUGUUAAAGUUGAAAUUAAAUACUAAUUAUCUCUGAAAUUGUACUGUGUACAAUUGAAACAAUUAAUAUUGAACAUAUCUAUAUGUAAUAUGAGGAGCUGAGUCUGCUAAAUGUAGAUUUUCCAGCAGGCACUCAUUGAUAAUGUUAACACUGAGGCUGUAAAUUCCAUUGAAUACAGCAUUUUAAUUACUUAAUACAUCACACAUGAGGCAUACAUUUAUUUGUUUAGCUUGAGAGGCAUAUCAUGAGUGGUAAUAAUGCUAUAAAUUGCAAGUUGCUAAGGUAUGCUGUGCUAUCGUGUAUACAUUCAGCAGAUGUUAUGGUAAAAAAAGGGGGGGGGUCCAAGUCCAAGUUUUCCAUGAGCUUGACUUAUACACAAGUAUGCAUGGUGCUCCAAACUGGUAAUCUAUCAUGGGUAUGGUGUUUAAUCAUGGUGUUGUGGUUUGUGAUGGUGGCCUUUUAAUUGUUAAGUAGAACCUUUUGUGGCCCUGUUAAUGGUAACGUACUUACAGAAUAUACCUUUGUAAACUACAUCAAGAGUUUGUAAAAGACCAUGACAUCAAGUUAAAAUUUGAAAGAUAAAUUUGUAUAAUUUCUCUGUGUAGCAAGCUUUAUUUCCUUUUGUACCAAAAAAAUGCAUUUGAUAUCAAGGUCUCCUCUGGAUUAAGCAACAUUCAUAUCAUCCUUUUUACCUUGUUAUUAGAAAUAUCAUAUUUUGUGAUAUGUAUAAAUCCUGAGUUGGAGUAUCAGCAUCAGGAUUCUCACAUAGUAUGUUGUUUUCAGCAGAGCCCAUCACUUCACAGAGUAAAAGGAAAGAGAUAUUGAUAAUGCAUUAAUUCUGGUUUUAAAGGUGCAGAUUUUGAAAGCACAAAAUAUUACUGUGGAAUUGAAAGCACUUCAUACACGAGAUAUUAUUGAUAUGCUUUGUAUUUUACAUGCUCAGGAAAUCAUACAAAUUUUAUAACAGAAAAUAGGCAUAUGAAAGUGGCAAUCAAUUAAUUUAUUUUAUUUCCCUUGUGCACUAUUACAAUAGUAUUUUUCACAUUUUUUUCUGUUUUGAAAUAUAUUUCCCAUAUGUAUGAUGAAAAGUAAAAAAAUAUCUGGUUGAUUGGAUA